AUCUAAGUAGCUUAAAUUAGAGCAUGACAUUGAAGAUGUCAGGGUAAUUGAAUAAUUCUUGGAUG
This 65-nucleotide transfer RNA is filed under the name Dacus longicornis. Its description in RNAcentral is "tRNA-Phe". Lineage: Eukaryota; Metazoa; Arthropoda; Insecta; Diptera; Tephritidae. The record is from RNAcentral.